Long non-coding RNA from Bactrocera dorsalis (oriental fruit fly), 1154 nucleotides. RefSeq lists it as uncharacterized. The record is from RefSeq and is a predicted model, not a curated record. Lineage: Eukaryota; Metazoa; Arthropoda; Insecta; Diptera; Tephritidae. The transcript is spliced from 5 exons.
GAUAUCAAAUGUGUGAUUGUAUGCGUUGGUAAAUAAAUUGCGUAUUAUUUUGAGCGGCUCUGAUGUAGACUAUGAUAUUCAUUUUCAAAGCUGCACAGCGUUUAUAAAUUUUUUACUUUUAUCUGCCGCCGACCUCUUGUCGCCACUGAAUACUGCGUAUAUGCAACCGCGUUACUGUUUGCCAUUAUUGUUCUAUUUUUCGUUGUCUUCGGAAACGCUGCGUUUAUGCAUAUACAAUAGUUAUUAUAUUUUCUUAUUUCGUACGCGGACUUACAAACUAAAUAUUCCAAAAUGUCAAAACGGAGCUACAUGAUAAUAAAUGACGAAAAUUCUCCACCUUGUGAGUGUGGAAAUAAAAUGAAAAAAUUGGAAGAAGAGGUGCAGCAAAUGAAAAACUUAAUUUGUGAGCUACAUGGGAAGAUGGAUAAACUGUUAGAGAAAGCAUUUCUGAAAUCUACAAGCCUGGACAUAUUUCCAAUAAAAAGCGUUGAAGAAAUGAAACAUUUUAAGGGAAAUGCUGAAAUGUUUCCAAAAAAUUACGUAAUUUGUAGCAUUAAAGAAUGUUAUUAUUAUUUGGAAAAUUUGUGGUUGAUGCUCUGAAGUCCCCCGAAUACGGCUUCCCAAAUUACGAAAAUGAUAUUAAAAAAUCGAUACAAUUAAUAAAAAAAACCUACGAUAAUAAAUCAAAAUAAUAUAUUGAUGAAUUAAAAGUCUUUCGUGUCAUUAUUAAACAGCUUAUUUUUAUUAAAACAAUAAGGGCUCAUUUACUCCUUUUUUAGAUAGCAGAGGUGAGGCAUCAUUUACUCCUUUUAGAGAUAGCAGAGGUAAGGCCUCAUUUACUCCUUUUAGAGAUAGCAGAGGCGAGGUCUCAUUUACUCCUUUUAGAGACAGCAGAGGUGAGGCCUCAUUUACUCCUUUUUUAGAUAGCAGAGGUGAGGCCUCAUUUAGUCCUUUUUUACGUCGCUUGAGGUGAGGGCUCACGAUGUAGGACAUGCAACGUUAAAAAGAUAUGAAGCUUAUAUGGCGGAGUAAGCCCUUUCUACCUUACAAUUCCGACAUGAAUAAGCCCAUAUGAAGGCCUUUUAUGCCCCGCUGGGUUUGCUUACAUGCCCACAUAAUUACAUGCAUACAUAUGUAUGUACGUAAAUAUGCGC